Molecule: RNA transcript, 3594 nt
Organism: Erpetoichthys calabaricus (reedfish)
Lineage: Eukaryota; Metazoa; Chordata; Cladistia; Polypteriformes; Polypteridae
Gene name: probetacellulin-like
Exons: 8
Source: RefSeq, a predicted model, not a curated record
UUAGAGACGAUCCCUUAUUUGCAGGUUGCCCCCUAAGGAUUCGGUUAGAGGUUGACGUCCAGAGGAAAAUAGUUUUAUAUUUUCAGUAGACACCUUUUCAAACAUUUCAUCUAACAGAAGCGUUUUGUAGUUUGCGUAACGACAAAAGAAAAUAAUAAUAAUACAAAUGGAAAAAUAAAAGUUUGGCAAGCAAAACUUUAAUUCCAACUUAGUGACAGAAUGACACUUGCAGAGAAACUGAAGUCGACGUUGCAGUUUACGGGAUACCCCGCUGUAGCGGCUUGAGCACGUUGGAUAUGUGAGGAGACGAAGCACAAACCGUGGAUACAAAUUUUAUUCUUGGCUUUUUCGCGGAUUUUUGUUCGAAAUGGCUAUUUUUAUAAUGAGCAGACUAACACUUGUAGUCAUUACAGGUUUAGCUUUGUGCAGGUAUGCAUGUGCUAACCGGAAUUCUACAAGCAAAGCUGAACUUGAAGAGCUACUUUGUCAUCAGAUGAACAGAAAUUGCUCAGAAAUCAUUGGACUUGCAAAAAGAGGAGGACAUUUUUCAAAAUGUCCCAAAGAAUAUAAAGACUACUGCAUUAAAGGAAAAUGUCGGUAUGUAAUACAGGAGCAACAGCCAGCAUGCAUAUGUGAAGAAGGCUAUAUUGGAUCCAGAUGUGAAUUAAUGGAUUUUUUUUAUCCAAAGGGGAGACAAAAAACAGAUUAUAAUUGCAAGUCUUAUAGCAGCCAUGGUGCUGUUGAUAUUUAUUAUAAUAUUUAUUUGCAUAUGUGCACAUCGUCAAAAAUUCUGCCAUAAGAAAAAGAGAAAAACCAGAGAAAGUGUUGAAGAAGAAAAUAAUUUAAAUGCACUUUCCAAAGAUAACAAAGACAGUGUAGCAAUUAAUAUGGAAGGGACUAACAUUGAAAUGGAGACAACUAACAUUGCAUAAUACCAGGGGAGGUGAUUUUGGGAGGAAGACAUCCAUGGGUUUUGAGAAUCUGUGCUUGAAAUCAAGUGGAAUGCCUUGUUUCAUGAUGGUUUUAUCACUUGUCAAUCAAGAGGAACAGGCUGAACUUAUUCUUAUUGGGCAACAUGAAGAUACCUGCUGGCGGGAUCCAUAUUGUUGAAUGCAGUUGGAUGCAGUUAAUUGACUGUAUUAUGAUGCUUUAAAGUGUUGUAUACUGUAUCAAUAUUUCUAAAUUGCUUAUUUGCAUUUGAUGUCACUGAACUGUUCCUCACCCCAUACCUUUUUUAGUUUCAAUUAUUGUGUGAAAGAAUUGAAACAUUUGAUACAACUUACCUGUAAUUCUUUGCAAGAUUAAUAAUGGAAUUUAGCUGUUCAAUGAAUUCUAGCAAAGACUGAAUUUCUGAGCCUUAACUUUGUUCAUAUUGAAGAUGGAUUGUGCAGUUAUGUUAUUCAUGCUUUCUAUACAUAUUCAGCUUUUUUUUUUUUUUGCUAAUGAUAAUGAAGUCUGAUUUCUAUUUUGUGAGGAAGAUCAUAUAUUGAUGACAUACUAGCACUAUACUUCAUUUCAAAAGGUAACAGCUGCAUUUUUAAAUUUUAUUGAGUUUUAUUGCAUUUUUUAUUUUACUGUUGCUUUGUUACUAGUGGCACUUAUAUGCAUAAAUUGUAAAUAUGUCUGUAUAAGUAAAGCAGCUGCAGUUGUCUUUAUGAUAUAGACUACCAUGAAUGGCAAGUAAAAAAGUUGUUUUAUUUUAUAAUAUAUAACUGAUAAGUGCUUAAUCAAAUUAGGUACAAUCUGGAGAAAUUGUUUUACUGUAUUUUACUUGUUUAAUGAUUUCUUAAUAUUAUUUUAUAUGUUGUAACUGUAGUGGCUCCAUGAUUACUGUCACUUAGCUAUGCAGUAUUAUUCUUUAAUAUGACCUGAAGUAUACUUUCCAAAUUACAUUUUAUAUUUAUAGAGCUCUUGGUCUAUAUUUUUUCAUUAAGAUUCAUUAACAUUUUAGCUGUGUACUUAAAUGUAUUUUCAUUGUUAAAGGUCAGUCAAAUUAUUAUCAGUAUUAUUUAUUUAAGACUAUUUCAUUAUAAAAGCAAAGAACCAGAGUAGUUUACUUCAUUGAGAAGGUUCAGCCACAUCUCAAUAGGACUUAUAAAUUAAAUUAAAAUUGGAUUAGGUGUAUACAAUUGUAUCAUUAUGUUUUAUUAUAAAAAUUUUGGAAUAUGUAAAAUAUUUUAAGGUCAGUAAGCACUCAUCUACUAACAUGACUCUUGUUAGUAUGGUAUGUAUCGCUGUUGCAGUAGGUAUUGCUGAAAAGGUAUAAUUAUCAUAUUUCCAGUAUUCAGAAUAACACAUUUUUAUUUCAUAGGAAAGCUUAUUUCAGAUGUAAUAUUUUUAUAAUAAGGUACUAAUAACAACCACUAGCAUAUUUUAAAGUAAAUUUAGAGGCCUGUCUUUGAUUUAGUUCAAAGCUUCAUUGAGCAACAGAACAAAAAAUGGAAGGUUAAAAAUAUUUUUGCCCAGUAAUUACCUAUUAGCUGAAGCUGGUAAUACCAGUAAAUAUAACGUUGUUUUUUCCUUGUAUAAAAUGAUAGAUGAUUACACUACAGUUUAAAAAAAAAAACAAAAAAAACACUUUUUAUUCAAGUCAUUUAAAAUGAUAAUUAUCAGAGCAGCUGCCUCCGGAUUUAAACAACAUACAAUGAAUAAACACUGAGAAAUAAUUUGAAUAAUUUUAAAUUUCAAUAUGAAUUAUAUCCGUUAGAGUUUAUAACUGUGUAGUUCAAUAUUCCUAAGUAUCUAAAUGUUCACUUUGUGUUGUCAGUUUUAAAACAAUGCUGAUAAUUUAACCAGUACCUUUAAAGAAAUUGAAAUUACAUUUAAUAAUUAUGUUUAAUAUUAUUUUUUAUUGCUUACAGAACAUUUUCACUAAGCUAUUACAGUUUCAUGACUUCACUACAGUCAUUGUUUAAUAAAGGUGAAAGCAUGCUGACUUUAUACUUAAUACUGACUAUUAAUUUGUGCAUUUAAGUUUUUAUGUAGUUCAACUUCUUGUUUGUUCUGUAAAUUUAAAAGUACAUUAUUUGAAUAUGAAUAUAGCACUGAAAGCAGUACAAGAUAUUGGCUUGUUAAGUCUACACAGUCACAUUUUCACAUUACACAGAAUUUGAGGUUUUUAUAGCACAAGAUAAUUUGACACACAAAAAAAAACAAACACGUUUUCUUUACACACCGAUGUAUAGUUUUCAUUUAAAAGACUUACACAAUUUCACUGUGCACUUCAAAUAAUCAUAAAUCAUUGUUAGUUUUACAUUUUAAAAGCAUUACAAAAUAAGAAAGUUUGACUACCUGCUAAACCCAAUCUGUCUCAUAUACAGUGUUCAUUUUAGAUGUAUAGCCAGUAGGUAGGUGAAUGGAAGGUGUAAAUUAAUUUCAUAAUGUUUAAAAUACUGUUUGCUCUUUGUAAUUAAUUAAUAUAUGGAUACAUUCAUAAUUUAAAUGCAUAAUCUAAAAAGUGUAUUAUUUACUGCAAAUGUGUUGUUUUUCUGCUUUCCACAGACACUACUGUAAUGUGCUCACUAUAUUUUUUUUAUAAAGCAAAGAUUUAGUAAUUAUCUUAAAUAUUAAGGUUUUAUACCGUAUACUGUAUAU